Molecule: ribosomal RNA, 301 nt
Filed under: uncultured bacterium
Lineage: Bacteria
Description: partial 16S ribosomal RNA
Rfam family: Bacterial small subunit ribosomal RNA
Source: RNAcentral
CAGUCGCCGCGGUAAUACGUAGGUGGCAAGCGUUAUCCGGAAUUAUUGGGCGUAAAGCGCGCGUAGGCGGUUUUUUAAGUCUGAUGUGAAAGCCCACGGCUCAACCGUGGAGGGUCAUUGGAAACUGGAAAACUUGAGUGCAGAAGAGGAAGGUGGAAUUCCAUGUGUAGCGGUGAAAUGCGCAGAGAUAUGGAGGAACACCAGUGGCGAAGGCGACUUUCUGGUCUGUAACUGACGCUGAUGUGCGAAAGCGUGGGGAUCAAACAGGAUUAGAUACCCGAGUAGUCCCUGUCUCUUAUAC